Long non-coding RNA from Amphibalanus amphitrite, 489 nucleotides. RefSeq lists it as uncharacterized. The transcript is spliced from 2 exons. NCBI's taxonomy places the organism in Eukaryota, Metazoa, Arthropoda, Thecostraca, Balanomorpha, Balanidae. The record is from RefSeq and is a predicted model, not a curated record.
UAUGUCCUUGUCAAAGGUAUCAGCUACACCUUUGCAACACGGACUUAGUUACGCUAGUUAGACGUGUUAGUAGUAACAUAUACAAAGCUGUUACUUGUUAUAUAUGUGGCGCCAAAAACGUUUCCGGCCGUUUCAUUUUGAAAGUUUCAGUUGCGCGCCAACCGCCGUGCAGUGAUGUGGCCUCCUGCGCACUUCCGUGAAAAUGGCUUUCAUCAGGAGCGAAAGCUCCAGCUUGCAAGCAAGGGUCGCUACACUGAAGACAGCAAACUGCAGAAACUCAAGAAUUCUAAAAAUGAAAAAGCACCUGAAUUCCAAGGGGCUAAUGAAUUUGAAUGCCCCUUAGAUUUGAAUGGGUACAGUGUACUCGGUAAGUGAUGACGCUCAUUGCUUUUUCGCAUGCGUUAUUGCCCUUGCCCCUUGGGUCAUGAGUGUUAUCACCAUUGUGUGUGUAAUGUGUAUGUACCAUUUUAAAUACAUGACCUACUUUCA